UAAGGGAAAGCAACUUUCCCCGAACCGA
RNAcentral lists this small RNA (28 nucleotides) under Bombyx mori (domestic silkworm). Its description in RNAcentral is "ovarian small RNA-19312". The record is from RNAcentral. Lineage: Eukaryota; Metazoa; Arthropoda; Insecta; Lepidoptera; Bombycidae.